RNAcentral lists this ribosomal RNA (480 nucleotides) under uncultured bacterium. RNAcentral's name for it is "bacterial SSU rRNA". It matches the Rfam family "Bacterial small subunit ribosomal RNA", at positions 23 to 518 of the family's 1533-position model. The record is from RNAcentral.
GUCAGGACGAACGCUGGCGGCGUGCUAACACAUGCAAGUCGAGCGAUGAAGCUCCUUCGGGAGUGGAUUAGCGGCGGACGGGUGAGUAACACGUGGGCAACCUGCCUUGUAGAGAGGAAUAGCCAUUCGAAAGGAUGAUUAAUACCUCAUAAUAUUGUAGCUUCGCAUGAAGCAACAACCAAAGGAGCAAUCCACUACAAGAUGGGCCCCGCGGCGCAUUAGCUAGUUGGUGGGGUAACGGCUCACCAAGGCGACGAUGCGUAGCCGACCUGAGAGGGUGAUCGGCCACAUUGGGACUGAGACACGGCCCAGACUCCUACGGGAGGCAGCAGUGGGGAAUAUUGCACAAUGGGGGGAAACCCUGAUGCAGCCAACGCCGCGUGAGUGAUGACGGUCUUCGGAUUGUAAAGCUCUGUCUUCAGGGACGAUAAUGACGGUACCUGAGGAGGAAGCCACGGCUAACUACGUGCCAGCCGCAGC